This 329-nucleotide ribosomal RNA is filed under the name uncultured bacterium. RNAcentral describes it as "bacterial SSU rRNA". It matches the Rfam family "Bacterial small subunit ribosomal RNA", at positions 568 to 898 of the family's 1533-position model. The record is from RNAcentral.
CGCGUAGGUGGUAGUGCAAGUCUGAGGUGGAAUCUUAGGGCUUAACCCUAAAUUGCCUUGGAAACUGCAUUACUUGAGUCAGUGAGGGGAGGGUAGAAUUCCUGGUGUAGCGGUGAAAUGCGUAGAUAUCAGGAGGAAGGCCGGUGGCGAAGGCGGCCCUCUGGCGCUGAACUGACACUGAGGCGCGAAAGCGUGGGGAGCAAACAGGAUUAGAUACCCUGGUAGUCCACGCCCUAAACGGUGGGUACUAGGUGUAGGGCUCGUAAGGGUUCUGUGCCGAAGCGAAAGCAUUAAGUACCCCGCCUGGGGAGUACGGCCGCAAGGUUGAA